CGCUACUACCGAUUGAAUGGCUCAGUGAGGCGUUCGGACUGGCCCAGGGAGGUCGGCAACGACCACCCAGGGCCGGAAAGUUCGUCAAACUUGGUCAUUUAGAGGAAGUAAAAGUCGUAACAAGGUCUCCGUAGGUGAACCUGCGGAGGGAUCAUU
This 156-nucleotide ribosomal RNA is filed under the name Teratosphaeria molleriana. Its description in RNAcentral is "partial 18S ribosomal RNA". It matches the Rfam family "Eukaryotic small subunit ribosomal RNA", at positions 1677 to 1830 of the family's 1831-position model. Lineage: Eukaryota; Fungi; Ascomycota; Dothideomycetes; Mycosphaerellales; Teratosphaeriaceae. The record is from RNAcentral.